This 229-nucleotide ribosomal RNA is filed under the name uncultured bacterium. RNAcentral's name for it is "partial 16S ribosomal RNA". It matches the Rfam family "Bacterial small subunit ribosomal RNA", at positions 568 to 796 of the family's 1533-position model. The record is from RNAcentral.
UGCGUAGGCGGCGCGCUAAGUCAGUGGUGAAAGCCUCCCGCUCAACGGGAGAAAUGCCAUUGAUACUGGCGUGCUUGAGUACGGACGAGGUAGGCGGAAUUUAUGGUGUAGCGGUGAAAUGCAUAGAUACCAUAAAGAACACCGAUAGCGUAGGCAGCUUACUAGACCGUAACUGACGCUGAGGCACGAAAGCGUGGGGAGCGAACAGGAUUAGAUACCCUGGUAGUCA